This 439-nucleotide ribosomal RNA is filed under the name Clostridioides difficile. RNAcentral describes it as "bacterial LSU rRNA". It matches the Rfam family "Bacterial large subunit ribosomal RNA", at positions 1561 to 2013 of the family's 2925-position model. The record is from RNAcentral. Lineage: Bacteria; Bacillati; Bacillota; Clostridia; Peptostreptococcales; Peptostreptococcaceae.
AGUGAUGGUGAUGGAAAUGUAGUUGCGGUGUAGCUGAUUUCACACUUUUUAGAAAUGUCUCUAUCGAGGUUAAAGGUACCCGUACCGCAAACCGACACAGGUGGGUGAGGAGAGUAUCCUAAGGCCAGCGAGAGAACUGUUGUUAAGGAACUCGGCAAAAUGACCCCGUAACUUAGGGAUAAGGGGUGCCACCAUCAGGUGGCCGCAGAGAAUAGGCCCAAGCGACUGUUUACCAAAAACAUAGGUUUCUGCUAAGUCGCAAGACGAUGUAUAGGAGCUGACGCCUGCCCGGUGCUGGAAGGUUAAGGGGAUCUGUUAGAGCAAUCGAAGCAGUGAACUUAAGCCCCAGUAAACGGCGGCCGUAACUAUAACGGUCCUAAGGUAGCGAAAUUCCUUGUCGGGUAAGUUCCGACCCGCACGAAAGGCGUAACGAUUUGGG